This 372-nucleotide ribosomal RNA is filed under the name uncultured delta proteobacterium. RNAcentral describes it as "bacterial SSU rRNA". It matches the Rfam family "Bacterial small subunit ribosomal RNA", at positions 173 to 523 of the family's 1533-position model. The record is from RNAcentral. Lineage: Bacteria; Deltaproteobacteria.
UAAGCCCACGGGGUCUUCGACCCUGAGGGAAAAGGUGGCCUCUGCAUGCAAGCUAUCACUUCAGGAUGAGCCCGCGGCCCAUCAGCUAGUUGGCGGGGUAACGGCCCACCAAGGCUACGACGGGUAGCUGGUCUGAGAGGACGAUCAGCCACACUGGAACUGAGACACGGUCCAGACUCCUACGGGAGGCAGCAGUGGGGAAUCUUGCGCAAUGGGCGAAAGCCUGACGCAGCAACGCCGCGUGUGUGAUGAAGGUCUUCGGAUCGUAAAGCACUGUCGGGAGGGACGAAUAAGCCGUUCGCUAACAUCGUGCGGCGAUGACGGUACCUCCAAAGGAAGCACCGGCUAACUCUGUGCCAGCAGCCGCGGUAA